AGAUGAAAAAAUCGUUUCCCAAAAAAAAUACUUUUUCCUUUUCAGCCCUUAGUAAUGAUUCUAAUUCCCCCCAAAAAAAAAUAUGUAAUUAAUCUUACACUACUCCACGAUAUAAUUGAAUCGGAAACGAAAUAUAAUUUUGCAUCGGUGGGUAAAGUUGUUGUUACUUUAAAAAAAGAAAAAAAAGAUAUAUGGAAUAGAUUAUUGUUAUCUAAAGAGAAAAAUCCCAAUAUGCAUGUUUGGUGGGACAUGAAAGAAAAGUAUCAAGAUAGCAUUGACGAGUUUUUAAAAGAACAAGAGAACAAGGAAACAGAAGAAACGGAAAAGGAAAAAAAAAAUAAACAUGAAAGUGAGCACGAGCACAAGCACGAACAUGAACAUGAACAUGAACCCAUUAAAACAGAUGAUAACACAACAGAAAGUCAAAAUAAACAAAACGGUCAAAAUGGAAAUGGAAAAGAAUCGAGUGAACACAUUGACAAUAAACAAAACCAAGGGGUAAAUCUAAAAAAUAAUGAAGAAUUAUAACUUCAACGUAUAAUUAAUAAUAUACUGGGAAAUCGUUUUGUGAACAUAUAUAUAUACAAAAAAAAAAAAAAAAAAAAAAAAUUAAAUUAAUUAAAUAAAAAAAAAAAAAAAAAAGGAUUUAAAAAAAAU
Molecule: long non-coding RNA, 657 nt
Filed under: Piliocolobus tephrosceles (Ugandan red Colobus)
Lineage: Eukaryota; Metazoa; Chordata; Mammalia; Primates; Cercopithecidae
Description: lncRNA (ENSPTEG00000022283.1)
Source: RNAcentral